GGGGAUUGCUCAGUGGAAGAGCACUUGCCUAGCAUGCACAAGUCUUGGGUUCAAACCCCAGUAUCUCCA
RNAcentral lists this transfer RNA (69 nucleotides) under Camelus dromedarius (Arabian camel). It matches the Rfam family "tRNA". Rfam says of the family: Transfer RNA (tRNA) molecules are approximately 80 nucleotides in length. The record is from Rfam by way of RNAcentral. Lineage: Eukaryota; Metazoa; Chordata; Mammalia; Artiodactyla; Camelidae. RNAcentral also lists the same sequence under 1 other name.